UGGUAGUAAAAUCUGAUACUUCUAUAAAUUCACACCCUCCAAAGACUGAACCUAACACAAAGCUAUCCUGUUAUUAGAGAUCAGAAGAUGCCCAACCCUCCACCACCAGAUCCCCACCACCACCACGACCACCACCCACCUCCACAACACGCACCUCCUCCAGGUCCUCCACACCAUGAACCUCCUCCCCUUCACACCCAUGCUCCUCCACCGGGUCCCCAGGCGCCUCCACCGGGUCCUCCUGAGCCACACAAACCUGGACCACCUCAUCAUCACCGUCCUUAAUUAAGAGAGUUGAUCAAGUACUUAAGAGGAGCAUAAACAUGGAGGAACUAGAGCAUAUAUCCAUAGAUGUCUGUGUGUGUAUUGUUGAAGCUACUUAAUUUCUAAUGUUUAGCAUUAUAUGUAAGCUACUGGGGCUGGCUCACAUGCCGGAUCUCCUGAUUACUGUAUGUGGUUAUUGUAUGAUAAUUAAUUAUAAUAAAUUGAUAAGUAGCAAAUUAAUCUAUGUCUAUUGUUUAUUUUAUUGAAUUUAGUAAAUUUUUUAAUUUAUUAAUAAUUUUUAUUUAUGACUAAUGAGAAUUAAAAAUAAAUGGUUUAAAUUUUAAAUUUAUCAUAUUUACUCGAAUGCAUUUACUAGCGGAUGAGGAAAAAAUAUUUUAUAUAUAAGUAUUUGAAGUUUUAAUUUAUUUAGAAUUAAAAAAAUUCUAAAAUUAUAUGUUUAAAAAUCAAUCAAAAAAUGUAAGUUAAAACUCUAAUUUUAUAUUAUUUUAUUUUAAAAGUAUUUAUAAAUUGUAAAUUAAUUUAAAAAAUUUAAUAGUGUUAAUGAAGUGGAUGAUAGUUUGGACAAUAAAAUUAAUAAAUAUUAGAGGAAUUAAAUUUAGUUAAUUAAAUUGUUAUACUUGAAACAUAUGAAUUAAUCUCUUAUUAUAUGUAUAUAAAUAUUAGGAACUAAUUGAUAAAUUACUCAUUAAUUAAAAAAUAUGAUAAAUUUUAAAAUUUUAAACAAUUAAAAUUUGUUUAGAAGAAAAUUAACCCUUUUAGUUCAAUUCAAUAAGAAAUCCGAAUCAAUAAUUAAAAGAAAAAAUUAAUUAUUAAUUAAUUAAUAUAAUAUGAGAAAAUUUAUUAUUCAUUAUGAAAAUUAAAUAUAUUAAAAUGUUUUUAAAAUUUAAAAAAUAUUUUACUAAUUAGCUAAUUUAUUAUUUUAACAGUUUAAUAUUAGAAAAAAAAUUUAAAUAAUUUCAAUACAAAAUUAAUGAAUUUUGUAGGAUUGAAUGUUUAUCAUUGUAUCAAAAGUUUAAGAUUAUGUUUAUUUUCAUUGCAGUUUUUUGUUUUUUAUUUGAUAAAAAAUAAAAAAUUUAUUCGAUUGUUAGUAUUUCAUUUUAAUUUUUAUUACUUAUUAAAAGAGUUUUUAAAAAUUAAAAACCACAAAUAUUAAUUUUUAUUUACAAAUUCCAUUAAAUUAUUAUAUUCCUUUAUAAUUUUUAUCAAGUUAUUAUUAACAAUUUCAAAAUUUUUUUCAUGAUUAAUCAAAUUUUAUUUUAAAUAUAUAUUUAUUCAAUUAAUUUAUAAAAUAUAUUUUUAUUUUAUUAUUAUUAGAGAAAUUUUCUAUUUAAUCUUUAUAUUAUUUAAAAACUCAUUAAUUAACUCCUUAAUUUUAAAAAAUACAUUAAAAAAUACUUAAUUUCUUAAGAAAUCUAUUAAUUAGUCAUUCUAUUAGUUUUAAUUUUUAAACAUUUUAUUAUUUAGUCCUUAUCAGAUAAAAAACUCAUUAGUUAGUAAUUAUUUCUUUUAGAUUAAACAUAUUUUAAAUUUUUUAUAAGAAAAAUUUACUAUUUAGUUCAUAUAAUAUGAUAAAACUUAUUAGUUGAUUUUUUAAUUUUUAAAGAUAUAUUAAAAUGUCUAUAAAAUAUUAAAAAAUAUAAUAAUUAGUAUUUUUAUUAAUUUAACUAUUAAGUAUUUUACUAUUUAUUUUUUGUGAUAAAAAUAAUUUAUUAAUUAAUUUUUUAAUUUUAUAAAAAUAUUUACUAAUUAAUUCUUUACAUCGAGGUAUUUUAAAUUUUUUAUAAUAUUUAAUAAUUAAAAUUAUUGAAAAAAUUAAUUAGUACCUUUUUAAAGUUUAGAGAUAUUUUAAUAUAUUAUUUAAAAUCAAAUGACUAAUUUGUGAGUUUUUAUAUAUUAUAUGGGUUAAAUAAUAAAUUUUAUUUUUCAGCACUUAAUAAAUAAAAUUAAAGAAAAUAAGUAGAUUUUUAAAAUAUCAAGAAUAUUUUAAUAUAUUUUUAAAAUAAAAUAUAAACUUAUUUUUAUAAAAAAAAAUAAAUACUAUUAAAUAUAAAAAUAAGUUUAUAUUUUAUUUUAAAAAUAUAUUAAAAAUUAACAAGGGCAACUCUUAAUUUUUUAUAACAACUAAAAUUGGUUUUUUUAGAAGAAAAAUAACCUUUUGUUUGUAUAACGAUUCAAUAUUUUUUAAAAAAAAAGAAUCAAUUUAUAAUUUAAAAUAAUUGAAUUAAAAAAAAAAAGACAAAAUUUAAAACAAUUCUGACCCUUCUCAAACAAAAUGACCUUACCGACACAAGUGCACAAGACAACACGUAUAGAUAAAGUCAAGGAGGGACAAAUCCUUAGCUAAACAAAUAUAAGAAUAUUAGGUGAUGAACGACGACGGAUUGACUCUUAGUUGUGAAAUUGACAGUAAGUUGGCUUCAUCCUUAACCUCCACCAGUAUAUAAUUACUCCCGAUCAUUCCAUACUUGGCCACAAGAAAAAGAAGAUGCACAACCCUCCACCACAUCAUCACGGUCCACCGCACCACGGACCACCUCCUCCGCAGCCACCUCCUCCGCAGCCACCUCCUCCUGGGCCUCCUCAUCAUCAUCACCAUCCUCCUCCGCCUGUUGAUCCCCGUCCACCUCCACCGGGUCCUCAUGGUCCACACCAUCAUCCACCACCUCACCACCACUAAUUAGUCCAAUGGGCAAUUGGACACUUAUUACAUAUAUAUAAUGUGAAAAGUGUGUAGCUAUGGUUUGUGCUAGAAUUAGUAGCAGAGGGUUAGAAAGAGUUGAACUCAAAAUCUCCUAAUUUAGCUUUACUGUAGUCAUCGUCGGCCGAACUAAACCUGUAACUCAGUUUGCUACUAUAUUAUAAUAAAUAAAAUAAUUAAAGCACCAUUUCUAUAUGGUUUGCUCGUGUUUUGCCUUCUUCUUUCGUCUCUUACUUUAUAAUAAUCAAACUCUGUUGUUUUGCUAUUUUUUUUCCAAUUUCUAGAGUGAUUGGAUACAUCAAUGCUUUGGGAUUAUAUGAAUAUGAUACUUCUAGUUAAAGAUGUCUCUGGGAGUAUAUGAUACUUUCGAAUUAAACAAUGCUCAUAAUUUAAUUAAAUUAGGAAUUUUCAUUGAAUAAUAAAAAUUGGAUAUUUUAUUAAUUAGGUAUUUAAUUUUUUUAGGAGUAUUUUUAAAUUGUUUACAUUUUAAAGAAGAUAAAUUUAAAUAAGCCCAUAAAGUCAAAUAAGCUUAAAUUUAUCUUCACUCACUAU
Molecule: long non-coding RNA, 3535 nt
Filed under: Manihot esculenta (cassava)
Lineage: Eukaryota; Viridiplantae; Streptophyta; Magnoliopsida; Malpighiales; Euphorbiaceae
Description: long non-coding RNA (MESC_LNC003388)
Source: RNAcentral